This 434-nucleotide ribosomal RNA is filed under the name uncultured bacterium. Its description in RNAcentral is "partial 16S ribosomal RNA". It matches the Rfam family "Bacterial small subunit ribosomal RNA", at positions 29 to 507 of the family's 1533-position model. The record is from RNAcentral.
AGCGAACGCUGGCGGCAGGCCUAACACAUGCAAGUCGAACGAACCUUUCGGGGUUAGUGGCGGACGGGUGAAUAACACGUGGGAACGUGCCUUUAGGUUCGGAAUAACUCAGGGAAACUUGUGCUAAUACCGAAUGUGCCCUUCGGGGGAAAGAUUAAUCGCCUUUAGAGCGGCCCGCGUCUGAUUAGCUAGUUGGUUGAGGUAAUGGCUCACCAAGGCGACGAUCAGUAGCUGGUCUGAGAGGAUGAUCAGCCACAUUGGGACUGAGACACGGCCCAAACUCCUACGGGAGGCAGCAGUGGGGAAUCUUGCGCAAUGGGCGAAAGCCUGACGCAGCCAUGCCGCGUGAAUGAUGAAGGUCUUAGGAUUGUAAAAUUCUUUCACCGGGGACGAUAAUGACGGUACCCGGAGAAGAAGCCCCGGCUAACUUCGUG